GGAAUCUGGUGCAAAGUGCAAAGACUAUAGUUUGGUCUACAGUUGCUUUCAAGGAGGUGGAUGCCGGUUCUGGUUUAUCUUUUUAACUUUAGUUGGAUCUGAGGAGAAAACCAAGGCAAUUUGUUGAUCUAGGAAAUACUUGCAUUUGAACCUGUUUCUGGAGGGUUAGAAGGAACACUUAUAUUACCCUGUUAUUUAUUUUUGCGUUUUUGUUCUGAAAGGCGGCCUUGCUUCCUCUCUCGCUCAUUCCGUAUUUAUUUGGUCGAGUAGCCUAGGUAAAAAUGUACUGCACAUUGGUAUCAUUUCGGUGGGUAUCAUCUGGUGGUUAUCAUCUAUAUAUAAUGAGCUUACUGUAAACUAUAUUCAAUAGUUGCCUCCUUUAGCUUUUAAUAUCUUGUGAUUAUGCUUCGGUUUGUUGCAUGGUUAGGUGAAUAUUUGCCUGAUCAGUUUUCACCUGACAACGUAUUGCUAAGAUUCUUUUACAUGUUAUAAAGGUAACACUAUUAUCAGUUGUAUAUGGUUUGUUUUGUCACUAGGUGCGGUAACUUAACUUAAGUUGCAUUGUCAUGUAUUCAGGUAUGAGAACCAUGCAUUCGAUACAAUCUAGGUAGGAUUGCAUUAUUAUCUUCAGGGUACUUAGCAUUAUGUCAUGGAAUUGGGGGGACCCUUCCUUGGCAUUAAUUUGCUUGCUGAGAGGAAGCAUUGUUGAGCAUAUUAUCAGUUUAAUUCCUCCACCUACAGUUGAACACUUGAACUGUGUUCUUAGGUUUAUGGUUGGUACCAGAGCUGAAAUAAUUGUUGUCUUCGUCCCUUAAAUAAGCGGCUGUGGGGCUGUAUGGUAAUCUAACCCUGCUAGCAGAAAUUAAGGUGUGAUGGUAGGGUUUCCUGUCGUCAUAAAUGUAGCCUGAAACUCCUGGUGCUGGUCGCUUGCUUUUUUCUUUUUCUUGGUGAAGUAUCUAUGUUUAGCCAUAUUAAACAUUAUGUACUGAUCACUCAAGUGGCAAACUGAAAGCGGCAUAAAUAGUUUAUCUUAUGGUAGAAGGAUAAUCUUAGCCAUAUUUAACCAUACCGAUAAAGCAAGUUGCAAACUGAUAGCGGCAUAAAUAGUUUUGCCUCAUAGAAGGUUAAUCUUAUGCCUAAAAACUCCGGCGACUUGUUCUUGGUAGGAUGUCUGUUGUCAGGGUACUGCUAGGAUAUGAUCACGGAGAUUUGCAUAAUUUUGUUCUUUUUACUUGGGUAGCUUUGUUUUCAAACCAUGAUAUGCAUAAUAUAGUUUCUUACUUGGUUAGCAUUGCCUGUAGCCACAAAGCCACUAUGGGGUGUGCGUACUUCAACUGAACUGCAUAAUAGGCUGGUGCUGGUGUUCGGCAACCCUCCGUUAGCCGCUCGCCGAAAUGUAACUGCAUGCCGCUCCGCUCCACAGCAGAGUUUCAGAGCGGAGGGAUUCCAAACAGCCCCUUGGUUGGCACCAGUUCCAGAUUUCAGAUUUCAGAUAUGUUGGUACCACAAUUUCGGGGAGUUGCGUUGUGGAACUGUGGGGCAGAGCAACACGAUGUUGGUGCUUGCGUUAUCUGAAUGAAUGCUGGGGCAAGGCAACUGGGUCCUAGGAUUGCGUAGGAGCAAAUCGCUCGCCCUGUUUGGUGCACGCCACGCCGUGCCGCGAGACAGGUUGUUUAUGUGCGACACCACGCAAUCUUUGCUCCUUCUGCAAUUAUUUUAGAAGUAAAGCGCGUGUGGGCAUGAGCAUUUGGAGGGUCCAUGCUUCGAGGCCUAGUGCGUGGGCUGCCAUAUCCCUUCCAACGCAAGGCAAAGUGCCAACGGCUAACUCAACAUGUUGUUCUUUGUGCCAAAUUCAGUUUCCUGUCUUGUGCUUAUCGCGUACUAUUUUUUAAUCCAAAGGUAAUAACCCUACACUCAAAUAAACCAACGGAACUGGGGCAGCGAGAAGCCGAAACUGGAGCAGCGAAAAGCCGUUUUGGACAUGUCCUCUUCGGCCAUAAAAAAUUGAUCAAACCCCGCAUUACCAUCAAGAAAGCUAAUGACCUACCCAGCAAAAAAAAAA
Molecule: long non-coding RNA, 2062 nt
Filed under: Triticum aestivum (bread wheat)
Lineage: Eukaryota; Viridiplantae; Streptophyta; Magnoliopsida; Poales; Poaceae
Description: long non-coding RNA (TAES_LNC008522)
Source: RNAcentral